Molecule: microRNA, 21 nt
Filed under: Ophiophagus hannah (king cobra)
Lineage: Eukaryota; Metazoa; Chordata; Lepidosauria; Squamata; Elapidae
Also listed under: 1 other name
Description: oha-miR-181c-3p
Gene: oha-miR-181c-3p
Source: miRBase by way of RNAcentral
CUCACUGAUCAGUGAAUGCAA